Molecule: ribosomal RNA, 404 nt
Filed under: uncultured bacterium
Lineage: Bacteria
Description: bacterial SSU rRNA
Rfam family: Bacterial small subunit ribosomal RNA
Source: RNAcentral
GAUGAACGCUGGCGAGAUGCUUUACACAUGCAAGUCAUACGAGAGUUUUUAACUCAAGUGGCGGACGGGUGAGUAACACGUAAGAAUUUGCCUUUAGGAGGGGGAUAACAACUGGAAACGGUUGCUAAUACCCCAUAUGCUUUCGAGUGAAAUGGAUUUAUCCGCCUAGAGAGAAGCUUGCGGCUGAUUAGCUUGUUGGUAAGGUAAUGGCUUACCAAGGCGACGAUCAGUAUCUGGUUUGAGAGGACGAUCAGACACACUGGAACUGAGACACGGUCCAGACUCCUACGGGAGGCAGCAGUGGGGAAUUUUCCGCAAUGGGCGAAAGCCUGACGGAGCAAUCUCGCGUGAGGGAUGACCGCCUAUGGGUUGUAAACCUCUUUUUUCAGGGAGGAAUAAAAUGA